This 551-nucleotide ribosomal RNA is filed under the name uncultured bacterium. Its description in RNAcentral is "bacterial SSU rRNA". It matches the Rfam family "Bacterial small subunit ribosomal RNA", at positions 94 to 640 of the family's 1533-position model. The record is from RNAcentral.
AGCGGCGGACGGGUGAGUAAUGCCUGGGAAUGUGCCCUGAUGUGGGGGAUAACUAUUGGAAACGAUAGCUAAUACCGCAUAAUCUCUUCGGAGCAAAGAGGGGGACCUUCGGGCCUCUCGCGUCAGGAUUAGCCCAGGUGGGAUUAGCUUGUUGGUGAGGUAAUGGCUCACCAAGGCAACGAUCCCUAGCUGGUCUGAGAGGAUGAUCAGCCACACUGGAACUGAGACACGGUCCAGACUCCUACGGGAGGCAGCAGUGGGGAAUAUUGCACAAUGGGGGAAACCCUGAUGCAGCCAUGCCGCGUGUGUGAAGAAGGCCUUCGGGUUGUAAAGCACUUUCAGUAGGGAGGAAGGUAGUGUAGUUAACACCUGCAUUAUCUGACGUUACCUACAGAAGAAGCACCGGCUAACUCCGUGCCAGCAGCCGCGGUAAUACGGAGGGUGCGAGCGUUAAUCGGAAUUACUGGGGCGUAAAGCGCAUGCAGGCGGCCUGUUAAGUCAGAUGUGAAAGCCCGGGGCUUAACCUCGGAAUUGCAUUUGAAACUGGCGGG